GUCUGACUGACGAGUCCCACCUGGGACGAAACGUGCGUCUUGGAU
Schistosoma haematobium is the source of this 45-nucleotide non-coding RNA. The record is from Rfam. Lineage: Eukaryota; Metazoa; Platyhelminthes; Trematoda; Strigeidida; Schistosomatidae.